UGCAGAAACUCUGAUGACUGUGCCAAAAAC
Molecule: non-coding RNA, 30 nt
Filed under: Mus musculus (house mouse)
Lineage: Eukaryota; Metazoa; Chordata; Mammalia; Rodentia; Muridae
Source: RNAcentral